GACGAACGCUGGCGGCGUGCUUAACACAUGCAAGUCGAACGAUGAAGCCCAGCUUGCUGGGUGGAUUAGUGGCGAACGGGUGAGUAACACGUGGGCAACCUGCCCCAAACUCUGGGAUAACUCCUCGAAAGAGGUGCUAAUACCGGAUACGAACUAGACAGACAUCUGUACUAGUUGGAAAGUUUUUCGGUUUGGGAUGGGCCCGCGGCCUAUAAGCUUGUUGGUGAGGUAACGGCUGACCAAGGCUACGACGGGUAACCGGCAUGAGAGGGCGACCGGUCACACUGGGACUGGAGCACGGCCCAGACUCCUACGGGAGGCAGCAGUGGGGAAUAUUGCGCAAUGGGCGAAAGCCUGACGCAGCGACGCCGCGUGAGGGAUGAAGGUCUUCGGAUCGUAAACCUCUUUCAGUAGGGACGAAGCGAAAGUGACGGUACCUAAAGAAGAAGCACCGGCUAACUACGUGCCAGCCGCCGCGGUAA
RNAcentral lists this ribosomal RNA (482 nucleotides) under uncultured bacterium. RNAcentral describes it as "partial 16S ribosomal RNA". It matches the Rfam family "Bacterial small subunit ribosomal RNA", at positions 28 to 523 of the family's 1533-position model. The record is from RNAcentral.